UACUAAAACUUGCGGAACACUAAAUUCUGUUGCUUUAUUUAUUUGGUUAUUUCAUAAGUAACAUUUAAACGGAUUUAAAGUUUUACGUGCGUAUACGUACGUAUGAAAAACGCAACAGUGGAAAUCAGCCUUUAGAAGUUUAAGACAUGGGUUUUAUGGUUGGGAAGAUUUCUGCUAAACCCAGUUUGAAGUUGCACUUGUUGUGGCUUGGAAUGCAGCCGUUGUAUCAAGACGUGAAAAUCUGUGAUGUAGCGUUGUAAACAGAGCGAGGAGAAUGUCUAAAUUAUUCAUAUAUUGUAAUUACACAAUUCCUUUCAAUGAUCUAUUGUAUUGGUAGCCGUUGCCGUCGCGUUGCCGUUCCUGGCUACGCAGCCAGCCCGACGAUUUAGUCCCGCUAUGCAAAUAUUUUCGUGUUCAUUGACUGUGAAAACAAUCAAUUUGUAAAGAAAUGAAUAGUGAUAAUAAUUUUGAAUUUGCAUAGCGAGACUAAAAUUGUCGGGCUGGCUACGCCACUGGUAGACCAGAUACCUGUAUUUCACAAUACCGCAAAAACAGACAGUUUUGCGGUUAUACAGUAAUAAAAGUUCCAGUACUAUCCGGUAAAUAUCACAUACCGGAUAGUGCUGGAUGUCUAUAAUUAUGCCGGAUAUCGGCUCCCGGUGUCCGGAUCCAACAUAUCCCUAUCAUGUGCAAAGGCAUGAAAAAGGACAUUUUAUUCUUUAGCAUUUUGAAAACAUUUUUGGGCGCCACAUUUCUGGCUCUUCAUGUAACAAAACUCUUACUUCUCUCUUUUUCGUCCUCGGACGCAUCUUCAUCACUUUCUCCUAACACCCAGGUCCAUGGAUUACCGUCUGCACCCAUCAAAUAAUUCACGUUUGUUCCUUUCU
Paramuricea clavata is the source of this 887-nucleotide non-coding RNA. NCBI's taxonomy places the organism in Eukaryota, Metazoa, Cnidaria, Anthozoa, Malacalcyonacea, Plexauridae. The record is from the annotation of a GenBank genome assembly.